RNAcentral lists this long non-coding RNA (203 nucleotides) under Manihot esculenta (cassava). RNAcentral describes it as "long non-coding RNA (MESC_LNC011382)". Lineage: Eukaryota; Viridiplantae; Streptophyta; Magnoliopsida; Malpighiales; Euphorbiaceae. The record is from RNAcentral.
GCUUAAGCUGAUAGUAGCAGCACCUUUUUACCCCUUAUAGCCCAGGAACCGCUGCACACGGUAACGUCUCCACGUUGGGUGCCCCUGUGGGGCCAGGGCACAUUCGGCACUUUCACAUUUUGUUGGCCAUUAAAUCCCUUUCCUCCCCGAGGCUCGAACCCGUGACCUCGGCUCUGAUACCAUUAGGGCGAUACCAUUCUACC